This 265-nucleotide ribosomal RNA is filed under the name uncultured archaeon. RNAcentral describes it as "partial 16S ribosomal RNA". It matches the Rfam family "Archaeal small subunit ribosomal RNA", at positions 714 to 982 of the family's 1478-position model. The record is from RNAcentral.
AGACGUCUACAUUAGAUACCCCCGUAGUCCCGGCCGUAAACUAUGCUCGCUAGGUGUCAGGCAUGGCGCGACCGUGUCUGGUGCCGCAGGGAAGCCGUGAAGCGAGCCACCUGGGAAGUACGGCCGCAAGGCUGAAACUUAAAGGAAUUGGCGGGGGAGCACAACAACGGGUGGAGCCUGCGGUUUAAUUGGACUCAACGCCGGACAACUCACCGGGAACGACAGCAAUAUGUAGGCCAGGCUGAAGACCUUGCCUGAAUCGCUG